CCUACGGGAGGCAGCAGUAAGGAAUAUUGGUCAAUGGACGCAAGUCUGAACCAGCCAUGCCGCGUGAAGGAUUAAGGCCCUCUGGGUUGUAAACUUCUUUUAUAGGGGACGAAAAAAGGGCAUUCUUGCUCACUUGACGGUACCCUAGGAAUAAGCACCGGCUAACUCCGUGCCAGCAGCCGCGGUAAUACGGAGGGUGCAAGCGUUAUCCGGAUUUACUGGGUUUAAAGGGUGCGUAGGUGGGUUGGUAAGUCAGUGGUGAAAUCUUCGAGCUUAACUCGGAAACUGCCAUUGAUACUAUCAAUCUUGAAUCAUCUAGAGGUAAGCGGAAUAUGUCAUGUAGCGGUGAAAUGCUUAGAUAUGACAUAGAACACCAAUUGCGAAGGCAGCUUACUAUGGAUGCAUUGACACUGAGGCACGAAAGCGUGGGGAUCAAACAGGAUUAGAUACCCUGGUAGUCCACGACCUAACGAUAGAUACUACGACAUUGUGUAUAUACAAUAAGUAGUCGUGAGAGAGAUAGUAAGUACUACCGACCGACGGUAACGGUACGACCGACGUUAGUAAGUUAACGUUAACGAAGAAGUUAGACGGCGUUGAGACGNGCGACGGACGACGACGAGGGAGGAGG
RNAcentral lists this ribosomal RNA (631 nucleotides) under uncultured bacterium. RNAcentral describes it as "bacterial SSU rRNA". The stretch from base 1 to 534 matches the Rfam family "Bacterial small subunit ribosomal RNA", at positions 338 to 873 of the family's 1533-position model. The record is from RNAcentral.